UAACCCAAUUUAUAUGAGGAGCAUGCCAAGACACAUUACACACCUCUUUGGAAAGGUAAAUAAUAAAUGUUCCAAAAUUCAUUACUUGCCAGAAUGUAAUAUCUAUGUGUGAAUGAAUAUCUUAUGGUUAUUCUAAACAUUUUCAACUAUACAUUUUAAAUUCUUUCAAAUUGAUGGAUUGGUUGUGUAUAUUAAAUAAUGAUAGCUAUUUUUGUUUAAAGGCGCAUUUAUCUCUUUAUUUCUGUCACAUCAUUAGCAAAGCAAAGGGGGUUUUAAGCUUUUGUCGUCUUAAAAUCUCAAUAUAAUGUAUAUUGAUAUUUCAGAAAAUAUUGAUAUUUUUUUUUGACAUCGAACGACUGAUCUAUUAUUCAAGCUUGAGAUGGUUUGGGGAACCAGACCGGAAGACCGGAAUAGAACAACCAAUGUAAUUUAUGUUCUUAUGAAAUGAUCUUGCUAUGUUAGCUAAUGAAUCAAAAGAUAAAUUUUCAGUGCGAGGAAUAAAAACAAUUGAGAAUUCUGGGAAUAUGCUAUUCAGCUUCUGCAGCUCAUCUAAUUCAAUGGAGAAGUUGGGCCAUGCUCCUGGGUCUUGAAUCAUUGAGACGAGAUCUUUACAAUCGGUGCCAAAAGCCGGACACGUCAAUAGUUGAAGCAUGCAUUCCAUCGCUCAUAAAAGGGCCUCAAGAUCCGAAUGAAGUGGUAAGAUUCUUCGUCGUUGGUUUCUUGCUCCCAAUAACUGAGCCGUUCCUUCUGAGGUUUUCCAUGUUCAUCCAUAACCACUAAAGAAUGCAUCGUGUGUCCAUGAACUAUCUAUUAGACAUCUCUCUGAAUUUGUUAUCUGCUCUG
Molecule: long non-coding RNA, 843 nt
Filed under: Brassica napus (rape)
Lineage: Eukaryota; Viridiplantae; Streptophyta; Magnoliopsida; Brassicales; Brassicaceae
Description: long non-coding RNA (BNAP_LNC020092)
Source: RNAcentral